Molecule: ribosomal RNA, 484 nt
Filed under: uncultured bacterium
Lineage: Bacteria
Description: partial 16S ribosomal RNA
Rfam family: Bacterial small subunit ribosomal RNA
Source: RNAcentral
GAUGAACGCUGGCGGCGUGCCUAACACAUGCAAGUCGAGCGGACAGACGCUGCUUGCACCGUACUCGAGUGGCGGACGGGUGAGUAACACGUAGGUGAUUUGCCCUGCACUACGGCUUACGUCAGGUAAAGUGGGCGUAAUACGGACUCGGCGCCAUUUUGAAUGUGAUGGUUCGAUAGUUUUAUCGGUGUAGGAUGAGCCUGCGGCGUAUCAGCUAGUUGGUGGGGUAAUGGCCUACCGAGGCGGCGAUCGGUAACCAAUGUGAGGGGGUGAUCAGGCACACUGGAACUGAGACACGGUCCAGACUCCUACGGGCGGCAGAAGUGGGGAAUCGUGGGAACUGGGGGAAAGCCUGAACAAGCAACGCCGCGUGAGUGAAGAAGGUCUUCGGAUGGUAAAACGCUGUUAGUGGGGAAGACGACAUGUGCUAGGAACUAUGCAUGUUUUGACGGUACCUAGAGAAAAAGCACCGGCUAACUACGUG